RNAcentral lists this long non-coding RNA (1296 nucleotides) under Sarcophilus harrisii (Tasmanian devil). RNAcentral's name for it is "lncRNA (ENSSHAG00000025255.1)". Lineage: Eukaryota; Metazoa; Chordata; Mammalia; Dasyuromorphia; Dasyuridae. The record is from RNAcentral.
CUUGUAUCACUUUUUCUGACCACGUUUGUGAAUGCUUGCCAGGUGUGAGUUCUCCCUAUACAUACACACACACAUAUACAUAUAUUGGCAAGUGGACAUUGGGCAUUCAGACAGUAUGUCCAGCCCAAUGGAGUUGUGCUCUCUGCAGUAGACUGGGAAUGCUUGUUAGUUUAAUUCGAAUAAAGACCUCAGCGGGUGGUCUCUUAUCCUGCCAAGUGAUCUUCAGAAUCUUACUAAGACGAGUUCAAAUGGAAGCGAUUCAGUUUCCUGGCCUGGCGCUAGUGGACAUCAGGUUUCACAGGCACCCAACAAGGAGGUCAGCAACGGUUCUGCAGACCUUUGGUUUGGUGGUCAUUCUCCCAUGCUUUCCUUCAGGGUCUCACAAACUCUGCGCUAGCUCUGACAAUGCUUGUGUCAACCUCCUUAUCAAGGUGGACAUCCCUGGGAAGCAUGCUGCCAAGAAAAGGAACUCGGCCACAGCGUUCAAAACUUCCCCACUUGCUGUAACUGGUGGUUGCUGCAGCUGGAUGGUGUGGUGCUGGCUGGUGGAGAAUGUUCAUUGUUAAGCCAAAAUUAGCACAAACAACAGAGAACUGAACCGUACUUUGUUACAUCUCGGCUUUGGAGGCUGCAUUGAGCACACAAUUAUCUGCAAACAAAAAAAUCGUUCACCAAUACUUCUUCCACUUUGGUUUUGGCUUGUAGCCUUUUCAAGUUGAAGAAUCUACUGUCAGUCAAAAAUCUGAGUACUCUCAGAAUGCCUAACAUUGCGCAGAGAGUCAUUGACAGUUCACCCUGCCUCCUGUGUCAGCAGAAACAUUUCUCUCUGCUCUUUCCUCUCCAUGUAGGAUUGGGUCUCUGGAGAAUGAGCUGGCAUUGCUCUAAUUCAGGACUUAUAAACCCAAAGCCUCCUCCUCUUAGUUAUAGUCAAGGAACUGGAAGGAGAGUAUGGCUGUGCAGCAAAAGAGUUGGACAAAUACAUUUUAAAUGAUUCUGGAUUCACAGUGAUGUCAGGACAUCUCAAGUCUUCUUGACUCUGAAGUCGGCUUUCUCUGGAAGGACUUUUAAAAUAUAGGCUCACACUGUCAAGUGAGUGAAUAAUUUCUUUAUCUCUGAAAAAGUGGCUUCCUUACUUUCUCAACCUUCAAUGAACUUAGAUAUCCAAAGUGUGAAUCUGGAGGCUGUCAGUGACAACCAUGACACUGGUUUAGUAAGUAUGUCAGAUGAAAUGGGUUUCUACAACUUUCUCCAUAGGUACCACGGCUAUGAUUGGCAAUAGUGUGUAUGAAUCCCAAG